Molecule: small RNA, 96 nt
Filed under: Mytilus galloprovincialis (Mediterranean mussel)
Lineage: Eukaryota; Metazoa; Mollusca; Bivalvia; Mytilida; Mytilidae
Source: RNAcentral
GACAAAAUUGACUUUUGUGAGACAAAAUUGACUUUUGUGAGACAAAAUUGCCAAAUUGAAUUUUGUCUCACAAAAGUCAAUUUUGUCAUCACAAAA